AGUCAUUGUGCAUCUAAGGUUAUCUGAGGUCUCUCGCUCUCUCUCUCUCUUAAACUCACUCACUAUACGUCACCCCUUCCCACCUCCAUAACUUCCAUAUAGUGCACAACUUUUCAUCCCCUUUCGACGGGGGGCGAGAGCCGGCACCACGCAGCAGCUACUCCGCACGCUCGUUCAUAUACAUAUAUAUUAUAAUAUAUGAAUACAAAAAGGGUCACGCGUUCUCGUCUCCUCGUACGCGGACUGUCCUUAUAUUAUCAUAUUGCUAUAAAUAUAUAUACGCUAUCAUCGGUAUUGUCAUAAAAAAUAACGCUCAUGAGUUAUGACGAUAACAAAAAUGCUGCAAAAGUCUUUUUCAUGAAAUGUAUAAAAUACUUACUUCUAAGUUAUAAAUUAUAUAUUAAGUAUGUGCGUAUAUUAUUUUAUAUCAUUAUGUUUAAUUUUUUCUGAAAUCGGGAUGCGCCGUCACGUCGACCUUUAUAUUAUUAUUUUUUUUUUCACGGCACAUUGUGCAUUUUUUAACUACGGGUAUAGCGAGAGUCGGAAUAGAAAGGCUUUGGGCUAACAUAUACACCUUUCGUCCUAAUAAUAUUAUGUAUUCUUAUUAUGCCACUCUCUUUAUGUGCAUGCAUAAACACAAUGCUGUAUUAGUGCGCGCUGCGACUGAGAAAUAUUACUCGUUGUCGGUCGUCGUAUAAUCGUCGCGGGGGAUACGCGUUACUCACGUGCAUUACAAUAAUAUCGGUAGACUGCAUAGGUACCUAUAUGAUAUAAAUAUAUCUACGACGUACGUGAGAAACAAGCGUUCAUUAUUAUUAUUAUUAUUAUUGCCGCCGGCUGCAGGGACGUGCAUAUAUUUGCAUGUCGAAGGGUCAAAAGACCGCGGCGUCGUCGUCAUUUCGUAUGUAUAGUUACAGGCUACAGUCGUCUACACGGAGCACUGCGAGAUUCAGUUUCAAUUCGCGUCUCGGAUAAUAAUAUUAUAAUAUUCUAUAACGAUCAUAAUAUUGUAAAUUAAAGUAAAAAUAUCUUAUAUUGAUUGCUAUAUAUUCGCUAAUUCAUGUUAAAUAUAAGGUAUCUAUUUAUAAUAAUCAUGACAAUGUGAGUAACAUAGUUUGUAUCACUCUGUAUAUAAAAGCGCAUUCACCUAUAUACGAUAUUACGUGAAGCGUGUGUUGUACGGGAUUGUAUCUGACGCCUACACGCCGUGCAUUUCAAAAUAUAUUGCAGUAGUCGGACAAUCGCGAUCGAAUUUCAGUUAUUACAUUGAAUGCGUCUCGAAGAAGCCGUAUACACGGAAACACCUUGCAGGGACGUUCGUCGGUUAUCGAAUAACGCACAUGUGCACAACCAAACUGCAUGUAAUACACUCCAAUACAUAAAUACGUAACAUACGAAGUGCAUAUUUUAAUAUUCUGAUGAUAAUGAUAAUAAUUAUAAUUUAAUAAUAAAAGUUUGUCAACUAUUUUCAGUAUCGAAAUAACUGUAAUUCGAAAUGUAUAUCCUCUCCCUUAAACGAUUGAUGUCAGUCGGAGUCAGCGGAGAAAAAUUAUUGACGGGAAAAAAUAAUUAAUGAAAAUGUAAAAUUUGCAGUGGCAACAAAAACGAAAUCGGUAUAAUAUGUACUAUAUGUUUCUAUAGAGCUAAUUUUAUAAAGUUUCCUUACAUUAAUUUUUGCACAUCAUCUAGUAUCAAAACUAUUAAUCAAACAACUAUGUAAUAAAAAUACAACAUUCGCAUUUGUAUUAAUUGAGGAAUCUAGUCCCUCAAAAACUCUCUAAAACUUCAAUAUAAACUUUUUUUGAUAUAAUUAAUUGGAACUCGAGUUUCCUUAAACGAUUAAGAUUUAAGAUAAUAAUAUGACGUUACUAUACAUUUAUUAUUGAAUGUAUAUUAUUUAUUAUAGAAGUAGUGUUAAUAGUAGUACUUAUAGUUCAAAAGUAGUAUUUUGUAUUAUUUAUAAUAUUAUUACGGUGGUUUUAUUUGUUGUGGUUUUUGUAGAGCUCAUCCCAUCAAUGCGAUACCAUCUCUGACUCGUUUGACUAAUUAUUUUAAUUACUAAAAAUCAUAGCUCAUAUGAUAAUAAUAUAGGACGUAUACUGUAGUCACACGCUUGCAAAUGUUCAUCAGCUGCAACAGCCGUUCGUAAUAAAAAAUACGAUAUGAUGUAUUAUUAUUAUUAUAACUCUCGAGACACACGCAGAGCAGUCACAUAUUAUACUGUGUACACUGUUGUGCAACAAGCGCUUUCAAUCCACCAGGAAAAGAUAUUUGGUUGGAACGCAAGAAAGAGACGAAUUUUUUGCCUUCCUUAAUAAUGCUCGCGCGACCACCGGAGAGAUCGUCGUCGCCACUGCCGCACACGUGUACCACAAAUGUCAGCGGGAGGGCUAUACGGGUCUGUUUUUUUUCGCUCUUGUCUUUUAUUGUGAUGGCAUUUUUUCAGACGAUUAAUCGUCAUUACUCACACGCACGCAGAGAAAACACGAGAUUUAGUGAUGUUCUCAGACAAUGUUAUAUUGUAUGUGUAUUUUUAUAAUGAUUUUUUUAUGCAUCCUUGUUUCAUAGUUUUUUAAUAAUGUAUUCCCCGAAUUUCGGUUUUUUGAAUUUUUCAUGAUACCUAAAGAUCGCAUUUUCAACACUAUUGAUUAAACUAUUUAAUACUUGUCCUCAUAUGGUAAUAAAACUCUGCAUAUCGUCAAACUAGAGUUAACAUUUUUUUAUAUCGAUGUAUUGAAUUUAAAUAAAUUUUUUUAGUGUAAAUGUAAAUAGAUACAACAGAUAAUAAUUAAUAUUUAAG
Long non-coding RNA from Aphis gossypii (cotton aphid), 2800 nucleotides. RefSeq lists it as uncharacterized. The record is from RefSeq and is a predicted model, not a curated record. The transcript is spliced from 4 exons. Lineage: Eukaryota; Metazoa; Arthropoda; Insecta; Hemiptera; Aphididae.